GAUCUGAAAUCAGGUAGGGCUACCCGCUGAACUUAAGCAUAUCAAUAAGCGGAGGAAAAGAAACUAACAAGGGUUCCCCUAGUAACGGCGAGUGAAGCGGGAAGAGCUCAAAUUUAAAAUCUGGUUUGCUUUGCAAAUCCGAGUUGUAGUCUGAAGAAACGUUUUCCAUGAAAGCUGAGGCACAAGUCCUUUGGAACAGGGCAUCAUAGAGGGUGAGAAUCCCGUCCAUGGUCUCAAGCCUUUCAUUUUGUGAUACGUUUUCUAAGAGUCAGGUUGUUUGGGAAUGCAGCCUAAAAUGGGUGGUAAAUUUCAUCUAAAGCUAAAUAUUGGCGAGAGACCGAUAGCGAACAAGUACCGUGAGGGAAAGAUGAAAAGAACUUUGAAAAGAGAGUUAAAAAGUACGUGAAAUUGUUGAAAGGGAACCGU
This 426-nucleotide ribosomal RNA is filed under the name uncultured fungus. Its description in RNAcentral is "eukaryotic LSU rRNA". It matches the Rfam family "Eukaryotic large subunit ribosomal RNA", at positions 1 to 422 of the family's 3401-position model. The record is from RNAcentral. Lineage: Eukaryota; Fungi.